RNAcentral lists this ribosomal RNA (253 nucleotides) under uncultured bacterium. RNAcentral describes it as "partial 16S ribosomal RNA". It matches the Rfam family "Bacterial small subunit ribosomal RNA", at positions 524 to 776 of the family's 1533-position model. The record is from RNAcentral.
UACGGGGGGGGCAAGCGUUGUUCGGAAUUACUGGGCGUAAAGGGCUCGUAGGCGGCCAACUAAGUCAUACGUGAAAUCCCCCGGCUUAACCUGGGAACUGCGUCUGAUACUGGGAGGCUAGAGUAUGGGAGAGGGAUGUAGAAUUCCAGGUGUAGCGGUGAAAUGCGUAGAUAUCUGGAGGAAUACCGGUGGCGAAGGCGGCAUCCUGGACCAUUACUGACGCUGAGGCGCGAAAGCUAGGGGAGCAAACGGG